CCCUUAGAUGUCCUGGGCUGCACGCGCGCUACACUGAUGUGUCCAGUAAGCACCUAACCUCUUCCGAAAGGAACGGGUAACCUUUGCAAAGCACAUCGUGAUGGGGAUAGAUUAUUGCAAUUAUUAGUCUUGAACGAGGAAUUCCUAGUAAGCACAAGUCAUCAGCUUGUGUUGAUUACGUCCCUGCCCUUUGUACACACCGCCCGUCGCUCCUACCGAUUGAAUGUUCCGGUGAGCUCUUUGGACUGCGCGGUCUGCAGUUUCUGCGUUCCGUGCGGAAAGUUGCGCAAACCUUAACAUUUAGAGGAAGGAGAAGUCGUAACA
This 324-nucleotide ribosomal RNA is filed under the name uncultured eukaryote. RNAcentral describes it as "partial 18S ribosomal RNA". It matches the Rfam family "Eukaryotic small subunit ribosomal RNA", at positions 1470 to 1796 of the family's 1831-position model. The record is from RNAcentral.